This 252-nucleotide ribosomal RNA is filed under the name uncultured bacterium. RNAcentral's name for it is "partial 16S ribosomal RNA". It matches the Rfam family "Bacterial small subunit ribosomal RNA", at positions 524 to 776 of the family's 1533-position model. The record is from RNAcentral.
UACGUAGGCAGCGAGCGUUGUUCGGAGUUACUGGGCGUAAAGGGUGUGUAGGCGGUUUUCUAAGUUUGGUGUGAACUCUCCCGCUUAACCGGGAGGGUGCGCCGAAAACUGGGAGACUAGAGUGCGGGAUGGGAGAGUAGAAUUCCUGGUGUAGCGGUGGAAUGCGCAGAUAUCAGGAGGAACACCAAUAGCGAAGGCAGCUCGCUGGGACGGUACUGACGCUAAGGCGCGAAAGCGUGGGGAGCGAACAGG